Hordeum vulgare subsp. vulgare (domesticated barley) is the source of this 1658-nucleotide long non-coding RNA. RefSeq lists it as uncharacterized. The transcript has 2 exons. The record is from RefSeq and is a predicted model, not a curated record. NCBI's taxonomy places the organism in Eukaryota, Viridiplantae, Streptophyta, Magnoliopsida, Poales, Poaceae.
GCGUAAUGUCAAACGAACUUUCAGAUCACCUCCUUUUGCAAUUCUUAACGCACAUUAUUUUUAUGCAUUGGGUAUUCAUCAGGUACUACAAAUGAUUUAGUAAUCUUUUACCCUACACAUUUUACAACUUGUUAGCUUACCAGAUUCGAUGGCUGUAGAGGUUUGCUUUUGUAAGAGUUUCAUAAACAUCGUGAUGAUUCUGGUGAAUGAACGAUUGCCCAGUCUACUCUAACAUUUGUUAGAGUGAAAUUGAUUUAUCGAGAGGUGUCAAAAAAUUUAUUGUCCAAAUUUAGCCACCUUCAAGCAUCCAUGUCAUAUAGAGUACUAAGUCAUGCAUCCCAUGUCCCAAAAGAGUGUUUUAAUACAUGGAGAAGGCAUAACUUUGGUAGCGAUGUGGAGAAGGCAAGCCAUAUGAACUGUUUUAAUGCAUGGUAAAUAUUGCAAAACAUCAAGUUCUUUGUUUUGACAUCAGUUUUGGUAUGUCUGCUAUUGCUCAAUUCGUGACGUUUAAAUAAGUGACCCCCCAUUGUGUUGUUGAACAUGGCAACCACUUGAUCUUUAAAUCGUGGCCUAUCCAUAAAUCUGAAGUGUGGCAUAACUUUUGAGGUUCUAAUGUAGCCUAGCAAACAUUAGCUUCAUUUAGGCCAAGUAAAAGGUACUGAUAUAGGUAAAAAUCUGGGUCGUAGAUCUCGUCCCUUAUGUCCCUUUUAUUAAAUUUAUGUCUAGGCAUUUUGUGUAUCUCAAAGUUUUACCCUUUUAUAAGUGAUAUAUUGUGUAUUUUGUUGAUUCUUUUGUUUUAUGAGAUAUUCCUGAGUGAUAAUUAUAUCCCGUUUGCUUCUUUGUUAUUAGAGGAGUGAAAUGUGAUUCAGUUAUGAAUCUGAUAUUAUGCAGCGUGAUCAAUAUACCAAAUCUUGUGAUUUUUUUCCUCUUGGGAGUGUGCUACAGCUGGUUGCUAUAGGCCAAGGAGGCAUUGACGAGCAAAGGCAGCCAAAGCAACAUCUUUCCCACACCGGAGCUUCAAAUUUGGUGCCCUGGCUGAUUCGAACAAGGUCCUUGGUGUAGCAGACAUGCAGGAAAAUGCGGUCCAUGCUCCCGGGAGCCGAAAUGUCUUUCCGAUCUUUUUAGGUAAUCUGGCAACGUGGACCUUGACGACGUGCACACAGAGAUGUCCAUGGUUCCAUACUUGACGGGGUGCCCCUCCACAAGCUAGAAACUGAAGAACCUGCACGCCAGCACCAUCGUCUUCACAUGCGGGUAUGCUAAAACUUUGCCCACACAGAUCUGUGGUCCCUCCUUGGGCAGCGACCCAGGCGCACCGUCGCCGACGAUCCACUGCUCUGUCCGGAAGCUAGCGGCGUCGGGCCCUCAGUUGUACUCCACCCACCCGAUGGAGUAGGGAACAUACAUCACCAUCCGCGGUGCGCACCUCCUUUCCUUCGAUGGUGCCGAUGACCUCUCCCAUGAGCCGGUAUUCCUUAUUUAAUCGCCAAUUAUAUCUCUCAAAUUGGUUGUUUAUUUUGCUUCUUGUGUGUAUUUUUUCGCUCAUACAAUUGGGUGAAAUUUGGAGUUCCUCUUCCCUAUGUACGUAGCUUCCUCACGCCAUUUGAUUUAUCUUGAGUUGUACAAAUUCAUCCAUGGCUCCAUACUCCAUUCAUAAA